AUAUAACAAUCUGGGUAAUGCUCUAAAAGAUGCUGGUAGAGUGGAGGAAGCAAUUCAUUGCUAUCGUCAAUGCCUCUCUCUUCAACCUAACCACCCACAAGCGCUUUCUAAUAUAGGGAUCAUUUAUAUGCAGUGGAACAUGAUGAGUGCGGCUGCACAAUGUUUUAAAGCGACUUUAGCUGUGACUACAGGGCUCUCAGCUCCUUUAAACAAUCUAGCCAUAAUAUACAAG
This 232-nucleotide unclassified non-coding RNA is filed under the name Hevea brasiliensis (rubber tree). The record is from RNAcentral. Lineage: Eukaryota; Viridiplantae; Streptophyta; Magnoliopsida; Malpighiales; Euphorbiaceae.